Molecule: unclassified non-coding RNA, 4243 nt
Filed under: Leishmania donovani
Lineage: Eukaryota; Euglenozoa; Kinetoplastea; Trypanosomatida; Trypanosomatidae
Description: gene:LdHU3.24.0740(CDS-product:SNF2_family_protei n)
Source: RNAcentral
AGCGACAUCGUCGGACUCGAAUCGAAAACGAGAGAAAAAAAAAACAUGCAAGCAGUGUCGCAGCAGAGGCCCCGCGCAGAAAAGCAGCUGCCGAGCACGCCCGUCUUCUCCCCAACCUCCUCCCGCCCCCUGCAUCUCGUGAUUGGCAACACACGGUGCAUGCGCCACGGCACACGAAAAAUCACCGAUCAAUUCAUCAGCGCACGCCGUCAACUACACACGCAGACAGGCACACGUACAUGGUAGGCAGUGGCACAGGGCAUCACGUCAUUCCUUCACCUUUUCUGCUGUUGCCUUGUCCGUUCAAUGCUGCAUUUCCAGCUCACGCACCUCUUGCUCUCCCACGCACACGCGCACCUUACUUCCGUGCAGCCGGCGCUGCGCCAUCCCUUUCCUUUUCUGGCUCUGGUCACCGGCGUCAUACACCCAACCACGCGACCAAACCUACACACGUUGCACUCCAUAGAUCAUUCACGCUCGCGCACAUGCACCCCUGGCGCCUCCUCUCGCCCUUAGUUGUUUUAAUCUCUUCGCAUGAGAGUGCCUCGAUUGCGGACUGACGCUGCUUCCCCGGCCAGUCCUCGCACGUAGCGGAUGAACUGCCUGUGCGACCACCCCGCGCGCUACCUCAUCAGCCGUGAUGGCAAGCCGUGCUACACCUGCGCACUCGGGCGCUGCCGCUUCUACGCGCUGGCCCCAGUGCAGUGCGAGGGGUACACCCGCGUCACGCUGGGUGCCCCGGGCUGCCCUCUAGCCGACACUGGCGUUGUGCUGCGCUUUGAGGCUCUGGUACACCCGACAAGCAAGGACGUCGCGUGCUUCAUGAUUCGCGUGCAGGGGGAAGCGUCGAGGUGGGACACGCUUCGCCUUGCAGUUCUGCAGGAUUCUCAGUUUGAGGGCAUGUGGUACACCGCCGGGCGGGCUUUCCUGUACCCCAUGGCGCAGUACACUCGCCUCGUCGCCGCCCUCAAGGCCCGUUCACUGCCGCACGUGGCGUUCGAGGAGAUCCCUAGCUUCUACUUUCGCUGCGUGGAGCGGAUGCGGCAACUUCCACGGCAGUACGCGGAUGACGUGGCCGCUGGGCGAGCCUGCCUACCGGACGCAGAGGACUGUGUGUACCGGCGCCUGAAACCGUUCCAGCGGGAUGGUGUGCGCUUCGUUCUGGAGCGCCACGGCCGCGCCAUGAUUGCCGAUGACAUGGGACUCGGCAAGACGGUGCAAGCCAUCGCCGUCGCUCAUCACUACCGGGACGAGUGGCCGGUGCUGGUCGUGUGCCCCAUGUCGCUCAUGGAGAACUGGGCGAAGGAGUUCAACAAGUUCUGCGGUAUCCCGUUCGCACGCAUCGCCAUCCUGCAAGGUGCCAAGGCAACGGCGACGAGCCUGCAGGCCGUCGCGAUCGUCUCCUACAGCUCCCUGAAGUGUGUCGAGGACGCCCACUUCAACGUGGUCAUCCUCGACGAGUCGCACUACAUCAAAGCCGGGGCGGCAAAGCGCGCGCAGCAGUCACUCAAGCUCUGCCGCGCGAGCCGCCGUGUCAUCCUCCUGUCAGGCACGCCAGCCAUGUCACGCCCCAUCGAGCUGUACGCGCAGCUGCAGGCCAUCCAGCCAAGCCUAGUGCCGAGCAAGGCCCAGUUCGGUGCGCGGUAUUGCAACUCCUUUGUCGGCCGCUUCGGCAUCGACAUGACCGGUCACGCCCAUCCCGAUGAGCUGCACAGCCUGCUGCGCCACUUCCUGAUUCGCCGCACAAAGCGCGAGCUCGGCAGUGAGCUGCCCUCCAAGUCUCGCCAACUGCUCUACAUGUACAUCACGGAGAAGGAAAAGAAGGCGCUGGAGAAGCAGAUCAUCGCGUUGCGCCGUAGCCUUAGCUCGACGUCAGCAGCAGCCUCCAGCUCGACUUCUUCUCUCGUGGACAAUGGCGGGGGCGACUCGGCUGCGCGGGCACCAAACGUAUUCGAGAUGAAGAUGGCCACCGCACGUGCCAAGAUACCCGCGGUGCAGGAUUACGUCAGCGGUAUUGUGGAGCAGCACCUCGAUUCAGGUGAGAAGCUCAUCCUGUUCGCACAUCACCAGUGCAUGAUGGAGGCGCUCCGGAGCGCGGUCGAGGCGGUGCGGCCGCGCCAGCCCAUCGACUACAUCUACAUCUCCGGCGACACGCCACCGGCGCAACGUGAGCCAGCUGCGGAGCACUUUCGAACAGAAGCGACAUGCACGGUCGCUAUCCUUUCCAUGCAGUCCAGCGGCAUUGGUCACAACUUCACGUGUGCGUCCACGGUAGUCUUCACUGAGCUGGAUUGGAACCCCAGCACCCACUUGCAGUGCGAGGAUCGCGUGCACCGUAUCGGCCAGGCGCAGCCGUGCCACAUUAAGUACCUACUGGCCGAGGGCACCUCCGACAGUGUCAUCUGGCCGCUGCUACAGACGAAGCUGAGCGUGACCGCGGCCAUGUUCGAGACGUCGAACGUGACUGGGGCGGAGGUACGCCUGCACGACGGCGCCGACAAGCAGAACGUGGCCAGGCGCGACGUGGUGGCCGCGACAACCUCGUCGACCCCGUCCGCAUCGCAGCAGAGCACGCUGGACCAGUUUAUGCAGCCGCAGCCGUCGCAAGCAGCGUCGAGGAGGGGCGAGGAAGUCGACGGCGUCGUUGUAUCAAUGCAGGAGUCGCCGCGAGUCAGCGUUCAUUCACAGUCGUCGACCGGGCACGCGGCACUUGCAUCGCUGGAGAGAGACGCGCCGCCACUCUUACUGACACCGGCAAGCCUCACCCAGCAGCAGCGACAGCCGCUGACCCUCAUCGGCACCCCCAUCUCCGCCUUCUGCGGGAGCACGAGCGGCAGCGGCGUCGCCACCGCAUCGGCUACCGCGACGACGGCACCGACAACCCCGCCGCCGCCGCCGCUGAUUCCGUUCUCUGAGAUGUGCGACAACUUCGUGGGGACCUCUGCGCCGCAGUUGAGCAACUCCUCGGCAUCGCGUCUGCCGCGCCUCUCUGCCAGCAGUGGCAUCGGCACGACACACCCAACCGCGCUGUCCUCGUCGCUGUCUACAAUGGUGCCUGGCCCCGCACCGAAGAGUGCCAAUACCACAUCUGUGCUCGACCUCAUGCGCCGCACGUCGUCCACAAAGUCGGGGGCCGGGUCAUCUGCAGCGGAACCGUCCCAUUCAGCGCGCGCUGCUGCUGUUUCCUUGGUCGUGGACCUCACUGAGACGGCCUCAACUCAGCCGGUAGCCAUGCAGCCACUGUCAUCGAUGGUGUCGCCUCCCGCGCCAAUGCGAUCGCUCCCGUCGUCAUCGGACGUCUCGCUCCCAACGAUGGACAUUACCGCCUCAGCCGGUGCCGUGGCCCCACCACGUCGCACUGUCUUCACCUUAUCCAAAACGGGCACUCAGGCCUUCAUGAACACAGCGGCUGCGUCGACGCUGACGAGCAGCUGCUCAGGCAGCCGCGCUCUUUGCCCUGCGGCACCGCCGGCAUUGCCAGUGGCGCCGAAGACCGCCGCCGUGCACGUGCCGAUGCGACCCGAUUUGCACUUGAAGCGGCCACGCACUGAUACCGAGCACGGCAGCGGCGGCAGUACCAGCAAGCGCGUCAACACCACCAGUGGCGAUGCGAACGCCCUUGCGGCAACAGCCGUUGCACGAGUAGAGGUGAGCUGUGCAGCAGGGCCAGCCGCUGCUGCGACUCUUGCACCCCUUCCGCCCCCAACCACUCGGUCCGUGCAAACGCAGCCGGUGAUGGUGCACCCUAUCAUGCUAGCUGUGUCGUCGUCGUCAUCCUCCGAGCCGUCGCAAGCUUCCUCGGCGCCAUCUCCUGUCGCCACCACGCCCCGAAGAACGCUUUUUAAGCUCGUGGGUAAAGCGUCAGGCGCUCCCUCUUCUCCCAUGCCUGCCAAACCGCAGUGACGUACAGGUGGCAACUGCGUGUGCAUGGAGUGAUCCCCUGCUUGUGGAGCAUGAGGCUGUCAUUCCUCUGGUGCCGGUGUGCUACGACGACAUGCACUGAAGUCGUCUGGCGCCUCGACCCCACCACCGCGCAUGCUGCGCAGAGACACAAGCGUACGUGUAUAUUGAGAAUGGGGCCCGCACACACACACACACACACACCCUUUCCCAUGCAUGGGGCUCGUACAUAAACACGCGCUGAGUGGUGCGUGGUACACUCAGAGUGAGAGGGGGGAGGAGAUGGACGGGUACACGAUGCAGAGCUGGUACGUGGAGCCUGUGUUCCAUCUCUGUUGGCAAC